UGAGCUGGGGGUGGCCGCAGAGACCAGCGAGAAGCGACUGUUUACUAAAAACACAGGUCCGUGCGAAGCCGUAAGGCGAUGUAUACGGACUGACGCCUGCCCGGUGCUGGAACGUUAAGGGGACCGGUUAGCUCCAUUUCGGUGGGGCGAAGCUGAGAACUUAAGCGCCAGUAAACGGCGGUGGUAACUAUAACCAUCCUAAGGUAGCGAAAUUCCUUGUCGGGUAAGUUCCGACCUGCACGAAUGGCGUAACGACUUCUCGACUGUCUCAACCAUAGGCCCGGUGAAAUUGCAUUACGAGUAAAGAUGCUCGUUUCGCGCAGCAGGACGGAAAGACCCCGGGACCUUUACUAUAGCUUGAUAUUGGUGUUCGGUUCGGCUUGUGUAGGAUAGGUGGGAGACUUUGAAGCGCCAACGCCAGUUGGUGUGGAGUCGUUGUUGAAAUACCACUCUGGUCGUGCUGGAUGUCUAACCUGGGUCCGUGAUCCGGAUCAGGGACAGUGUCUGGUGGGUAGUUUAACUGGGGCGGUUGCCUCCUAAAGGGUAACGGAGGCGCCCAAAGGUUCCCUCAGCCUGGUUGGUAAUCAGGUGUUGAGUGUAAGUGCACAAGGGAGCUUGACUGUGAGACUGACGGGUCGAGCAGGUACGAAAGUAGGGACUAGUGAUCCGGCGGUGGCUUGUGGAAGCGCCGUCGCUCAACGGAUAAAAGGUACCCCGGGGAUAACAGGCUGAUCUUCCCCAAGAGUCCAUAUCGACGGGAUGGUUUGGCACCUCGAUGUCGGCUCGUCGCAUCCUGGGGCUGGAGUCGGUCCCAAGGGUUGGGCUGUUCGCCCAUUAAAGCGGUACGCGAGCUGGGUUUAGAACGUCGUGAGACAGUUCGGUCCCUAUCCGCUGCGCGCGUAGGAGUCUUGAGAAGGGCUGUCCCUAGUACGAGAGGACCGGGACGGACGGACCUCUGGUGUGCCAGUUGUUCUGCCAAGGGCAUGGCUGGUUGGCUACGUUCGGAAAGGAUAACCGCUGAAAGCAUCUAAGCGGGAAGCCUGCUUCGAGAUGAGGGCUCCCACCCACUUGAUGGGGUAAGGCUCCCAGUAGAUGACUGGGUUGAUAGGCCAGAUAUGGAAGCGCCGUAAGGUGUGGAGUUGACUGGUACUAAUAGGCCGAGGGCUUGUCCUC
RNAcentral lists this ribosomal RNA (1173 nucleotides) under Streptomyces noursei. RNAcentral describes it as "partial 23S ribosomal RNA". It matches the Rfam family "Bacterial large subunit ribosomal RNA", at positions 1763 to 2925 of the family's 2925-position model. The record is from RNAcentral. RNAcentral also lists the same sequence under 1 other name. Lineage: Bacteria; Bacillati; Actinomycetota; Actinomycetes; Kitasatosporales; Streptomycetaceae.